This 550-nucleotide ribosomal RNA is filed under the name uncultured bacterium. RNAcentral's name for it is "partial 16S ribosomal RNA". It matches the Rfam family "Bacterial small subunit ribosomal RNA", at positions 355 to 895 of the family's 1533-position model. The record is from RNAcentral.
UGGGGAAUUUUGGACAAUGGGCGAAAGCCUGAUCCAGCAAUGCCGCGUGUGUGAAGAAGGCCUUCGGGUUGUAAAGCACUUUUGUCCGGAAAGAAAUCCUUGGCUCUAAUACAGUCGGGGGAUGACGGUACCGGAAGAAUAAGCACCGGCUAACUACGUGCCAGCAGCCGCGGUAAUACGUAGGGUGCAAGCGUUAAUCGGAAUUACUGGGCGUAAAGCGUGCGCAGGCGGUUUGCUAAGACCGAUGUGAAAUCCCCGGGCUCAACCUGGGAACUGCAUUGGUGACUGGCAGGCUAGAGUAUGGCAGGAGGGGGGUAGAAUUCCACGUGUAGCAGUGAAAUGCGUAGAGAUGUGGAGGAAUACCGAUGGCGAAGGCAGCCCCCUGGGCCAAUACUGACGCUCAUGCACGAAAGCGUGGGGAGCAAACAGGAUUCAGAUACCCUGGUAGUCCAGCGCCCUAAACGAUGUCAACUAGUUGUUGGGGAUUCAUUUCCUUAGUAACGUAGCUAACGCGUGAAGUUGACCGCCUGGGGAGUACGGUCGCAAGAUU